AUUGAACGCUGGCGGAAUGCUCUACACAUGCAAGUCGAACGGCAGCACGGGGGCAACCCUGGUGGCGAGUGGCGAACGGGUGAGUAAUACAUCGGAACGUGCCCGGUCGUGGGGGAUAACGUAGCGAAAGUUACGCUAAUACCGCAUACGAUCUGAGGAUGAAAGCGGGGGACCUUCGGGCCUCGCGCGAUCGGAGCGGCCGAUGUCAGAUUAGGUAGUUGGUGGGGUAAAGGCCUACCAAGCCGACGAUCUGUAGCUGGUCUGAGAGGACGACCAGCCACACUGGGACUGAGACACGGCCCAGACUCCUACGGGAGGCAGCAGUGGGGAAUUUUGGACAAUGGGCGCAAGCCUGAUCCAGCCAUUCCGCGUGCAGGACGAAGGCCUUCGGGUUGUAAACUGCUUUUGUAUGGAACGAAAAGGCUCUGGCUAAUACCUGGGGCUCAUGACGGUACCGUAAGAAUAAGCACCGGCUAACUACGUG
RNAcentral lists this ribosomal RNA (484 nucleotides) under uncultured bacterium. RNAcentral describes it as "partial 16S ribosomal RNA". It matches the Rfam family "Bacterial small subunit ribosomal RNA", at positions 30 to 507 of the family's 1533-position model. The record is from RNAcentral.